GGAAAAGAAUCAGCAAUAAAAAGAGAUGGAGCCAGCCCUGUGCUGGAGCCCGGAGCGAUAAGCGUGCAGCCAGGAGGAGGAGGAGGGAUGAGAGUGCGCCGCAGGCACGAGGUCCCCGCGGCAAGUGAAAUUCCAGCCCGCAGCUCCGUGUCCCCAUCCCGCUCCUCCGAGAGCCAGCAGCUGAGCCGGGGCUCAAGUGUCUUGGGGCACAGAGGUGGGGGCCACGCUCCGGGUGCCGAAACAUCGUCACCCCGUCCCGGGGAGGGGUGGGGACCUCGGGGACGUCAAGGAGAAGGCCAGAGCGUACCGUGCUCGCUGGAGGGACCGAUGAGUCGGCAGCAUGGGAGAAAACCCAAUAUGCUGCCAGCAGCAAUGACAGGCAUGUGGCACACACCGGGAGGUGUCAAAAGAUGCUCACGUCAGCUUCACCAGCAGCCCCGUGCCUCCUGCCCUGGCCGUAUAGGGAAGAGCACCCGAGCAAUUUGCCUUUUGGAGCCUUUUGUUUCGUGGGCCAGCUCUCACCUACGGCAAAACCAUCUGCAGGAGCAGCAAGGAGAGAGCUGUGCCCUUCCUCCCCGCUUCGAGUGACAGGUACCAGCAUUUCCCACUUCUACUGCAUGGGAGAAGUAACACUCU
Long non-coding RNA from Cygnus atratus (black swan), 636 nucleotides. RefSeq lists it as uncharacterized. The transcript is spliced from 3 exons. NCBI's taxonomy places the organism in Eukaryota, Metazoa, Chordata, Aves, Anseriformes, Anatidae. The record is from RefSeq and is a predicted model, not a curated record.